UCUCUCUCCUUGACUGUCUUCAAACUGACAUAUCAGUCUUCUUAGAUUCUUUAACUGGGACUUGCACUAUCAGCUUUCCUGUUUCUCAAUUUUUCAAAUGUGAACUAUACUUAUACAAUCAAUUCUGCUGGUUCUCAGACCUUCAAGCUCAUUCAGUAGCAGUGGUCCACUUUGUGCUUUGAAUUAGCCCUUGCUGCCCUGCCACAGCAACUAAUUGUUUAAAAGGACAUGUUUCUUUCUCCCUGCCCGUUCCUAAUUUCUCCCUGUCUCUAACGUCAGGGGAAACAGGAUUGCCUUUCAUCCCCAUCCUAAACAGAGUUAUCUGUCCUUGAGCGCACACCCACAACAAGAAUAAAGUAAUUCAGACUUUUCCAAUGGUACCAGAAGAUCUCAGAAAUGACUAUUUUCCAAAUUAACAAGUGAAUUACUACUCUGGACAGAGCAUGUGGAAUGUAGCCUUUGAGUCACCUCUUUAAAACAAAACAAAACAAAACAAAAACCUGUUCUCUAGGAUGGGCAGGAGUACUUUUCCUUUGCUAGCAAAACAAUCAGAUUUCUUUUUCUCAAAACUGUAUCCUCAUUAUUGGAUUGGCAAGGAGACAGGGUCCUAGUUUUCAGUAAUGAUAGUAGAGGAAAGCGCUGCUAGCUUUCCUCAGUCUUCAGUUUGGGAGUGGUAGAUCUUGUGACUUCUGAUUGUUGCAAUCACAUAAGCCUAUUCCUCAGAAUAUUUUUUCUCUAUCUUUUCUAUUGGAUCUAUGUUUUUCUGGAGUACUACGUUUAUAGAGACAACAAUUUUUAUAAAAGAUUAAAAAUGAAAUUAAAAAUAAAAAAAAAAUUCCAAGAGUAAGCAGUACCAUAGCUUAUAACCCAGAAGCUCACUGGUCCUCCAUGGUAUCACUGCCAGCAUUAUGGGGGAACCCUUGCAUUCUGGUACUGCUAGCAAAACCAUGACUUUGUCCUUGCUUCCAACUCCAUGAUUCUCAUCAACAGCUUGAUACCAUGGGGCUGAUCAUCAUGCCUUUAUGUCUUUUGACAUGAGCUCUCAUCUCUUGCCAAUAUCCAUAUGGAUUCAGGGAAGGAAGGGGUUCCCUGCUCAUUGACCACACCUAAACAUUCUUUCCAGCUCUUGUUUCUUUAAUAAUAUUUAUUAUUAUCUUUCAUUAUUUCCCUUUUUUUCACUACAAUGUAAGUCAGAAACUAUUUCUCUAUCAUUUAUUUACUAUUCAUAGAAGUGAAACCAGUGCUGACACAGAAUAGCAUAUUUAUUCAAUCAUUAACCAUAAAAGUAAUAUUGGUGAUUUUAAUAAGAUUUAAAAGCCUUUAACUGCUAAGAGCCAUAGCCAAGUAGUAAUGAUGCAUGGCAUUUUUGGUUGAAAGAUGGCAUUUUUGGUUGAAAGACACCAGCAAGCCAUUGAGAUGAUAUGAUUAUGUUAAGAUCUGCAUUCAAAUGGAUAUUAGACCCCUGCUGUCCACCUCAGCUUGCUAUGGGACUCCUGGAGAGUUCCCAUUGGUUGGGGAAGUACAGUAGGAGGGAAUUCCAGAGGAGGGAUUUCCUGUUGGUGUGUGUGUCCAGGAGAAUGCCACGUGCGUGGGUCGGCAUAUUUCCCGGGAGCAUACAGGGCAUUGGCGGGAGUUUCAAAAAUAAAGUUUGUUCCUGUUUGAGUGGCUUGUGAUUUUAUGCCCAGCCAGACUGCGGCAUUUAACAAGCUAAAUAUUGUGCUAGAUUGGCUGAAUGUAUUAUUUCAGGUUUUCUUUUUACAAUUCUAAGGAAUCAGACUCUUUCAUUGGCCCCAUAGCAUAGAGAAGUCGAGUACAGUUCUAAGGUCAGUCUAUGGGUGAUAGAGUUCACAAUAGUUUCCAUUCAGGCAGCUCUUGCAAAUUCUUGACCUUCAGGAUUUUGAACUUUGUGUGCAGAUG
Molecule: long non-coding RNA, 1917 nt
Filed under: Marmota monax (woodchuck)
Lineage: Eukaryota; Metazoa; Chordata; Mammalia; Rodentia; Sciuridae
Source: RNAcentral